Long non-coding RNA from Crotalus tigris (Tiger rattlesnake), 3033 nucleotides. RefSeq lists it as uncharacterized. The transcript has 3 exons. NCBI's taxonomy places the organism in Eukaryota, Metazoa, Chordata, Lepidosauria, Squamata, Viperidae. The record is from RefSeq and is a predicted model, not a curated record.
UUCGCCGGCCCGCCGUGCCUUCGGGGCCGAACGUCCCCACGAGGAGCAGGCACGGCGGGGCUCACGCCGCUGGACCGGACCGGACCGGACCAGGCGGACAGCGGCCCGCGGUGCUGGCAGCGCCUCCUGGAGGGAUCGGGCGGCCGAGGCGCGAAAGGGCCUGCCCGGACGGCGUCAGCGGCCCUGCGGCGGCUUCUCUACGGCCCGGCUCCCGCCCUGGCCCGGCCCGGCUCCCGCCCGCGACGCGCUCCGGCUCCGCGACAAGAUGGCGGCUGUUGAUUCCUCAAUUAAAAAAAAAAAGUUUUUUCUCUUCUCUUUUCCACAGACAAAGGGGCGGGGCCGGGCGUGCGCGCUCGCCUCAUUGCGCACGGCGCGUCCCUCCGGCUUCGGCCGCCGCCGCCGCCGCCGCCGGAAAAGCACGAGCGCACCCGAAGCUCCGCCGGACGCUUCUUCCGCAGUCGGCGCCUCCCGCAAGCCUUACCGAGGAGGCGGCCGCUGCGCUUUUACUUCGGGGUCGGUUCGUGCGCGCCCCCCACGGGCCUCCCGCCACCUUGUUUCCUGUCACGGGUUUCAGUUCCCGAUGCUCCCGUUGGGGUCGCGGAAGGAAGCUCUGAUCUCCCCCGCCCCGCACGGGUCCCCCUUUGAGCAACAGCUGUGAGUGGGCCCCCUCCUUCCCCCAUUCAAUGCCCCGUCCCCCUGCCCUGUCCCUGGGGCAGCCGUGCGAGCCUCGCUGCCCACCUGGCGGCCCGUCUCUCCCCCGGCUGGGCGACUCAGCCUCUCCGGAUUUCUGCUUUCCUCGUGCGCUUCCUGGGGGCGGGGGAGGCAGUACAGGUAGGCCUGGGUUGGGGGGGUUUCAGUCUGUUCGUUCAGCAACUGGCUUCCCCCAAACAGUCACCGAGGAAGCCAGAUGGAGUUCAGCAGUCAUGGUGAUGGUGAGGUUCUCAUUUGGCAAUAAUAACUGGAAGGGCUGGAAUUUCUGUCGCUAAGCAAUGUGUUCAUGUGAUGUCACACUUUACAACUGUGUGGUUUAGUGAUAGUAAUCCUGGUCCCAAUUGGUCCUAAUCUGAGGAUUACCUGUUCCCUAAGGUUGCUGUAACCAGCAUAGAACAGAAAAGAAUGAGGAUUUCUCUGAGUCUGGCCCUCUGCUGAUGUUGAGGCAAUGUAGUAGGAUGGCGUUGCUUUUCCCACAGGCUCCUGUUCCCCUUGUUUGCUCAAAUCCUUAACUGUGCCCUGUUUCACACAGGCCUUUGAAUGUAGGAUUUUGCCUUACUUUUUGUUGAAAUUCUUCUUAUUGACUUCAGCCCGUCAUUCCAAUGUGUCAAGGACCUACUGUGCUUCAAAAUGGUUGCUUUUCCUCCAUCAACUUUGUAUCAUUUGGAAAUUUGGUAAAUAAUAUUGUUAUCAUCCUAAUUUAAUAAAUAAAUAUGAAUGUGUUGAAGAGCAGUCUUAAAUGGAAUAGUAUACCUAUCUACCUUUCCAGCUUGGUGGGUUGGCGGGGGGUAGUGGAGAGGGGAUGGCUCUAUGUGAGCCACAGAUUCGUGCAUGCAGCUCCAUUUGUGCAAAUAGCAUGCGCGUGCACCCUCCACUCAAGCAAAUGGAGCUUUGCAGGCAAGCGUGCCUACCACUUGCAUGAGUGCGCAUGUGCACACUCGCCUGUCACUUGCGUGGCCCAGUUCUGAAUGGGUCAUGAUCAGGUACUGGGCCGCGGACAAGGGCUGUGGACCCCUGGUCUAUUUCAUUUACUCCCAGCUGGAUGUUGUCCAUACAUUAGGUAUGACUUUCAACCUGCUUCUUACCCAUCUAAUGGUAGCAAAACUUGAAGCACAUUUUGCCUUAUGUAAUUUAAUCGAUUAACAUUUGUUAAAAAUGAAGGCAAAUAUACAUGUCCCAGGAUAAUGUGGCAGAAUCCAGUCGGUCACUAGGACCAGAAAUUUAGACUUCUGAGCUUUUGGACUCGUGCUGGAGCCCAUCCUCUGGGAACUUCUCCCGUCCGUUCGCUGCGGUCGUCCCCCGGUGCCUUUGACGACGUCCUUCCCAGUACGGCCGACUUCCUGUCCUGUGGUGGUGGUAGAAGGAGGUAAGGAGAUGGGCAAGCGGGCCGGGUUGUAUCACACUUUGCCUUUCUAAGGGGCUGAAACUUCCAGCAGGCUCAGGCAAUGUGGGGACUUGGUCCAGAACCUGCCUCGUUCCAGAAGGAGGAGGGGGAAAAUGCAGGGUUGGAGGUUCAGGAAGGCUGCACUUGUCUCGAGGCACCGACGGUUCUUCCAGCCUGUUUUUUGUGGGGCGGAGGGGGGGGGGAAGAAUGCAGAACACAUCUGUCCAUCUGCAAAACUGGUUGCAGAAAUAGCAUCACUUGGCACAACCUGGAGUAAACAAAACCGAUUUCAGACCAUUAUGUCAGGGUAGGCCAAGUCUUCAGAAACAUGUGUUUUGAAAAGCAGCAGAAGGACCUCGUCUUUCUGGCUUUUCCUUUGAGAGUCGUUCUCAGUUUAUGGUUGGGACCUUCUCCCGGUUGUUGUGUUUGUGAAGCUGUGCUUCAUCACUUGUUGCGAUGCUGCUUGUCAGUUCUACCUUUUCUGCUUUCUUUCCAAGGUCCCAAAGCACAGAAGAAAUUUAAGCGGCUCACGUUACAUCGAAUAAAAUGGGAUGAGCAGACGUCAAACACAAAAGGAGACGAUGAUGAGGAAUCUGUGAAAAAAAACCAACAAAUGUUCCCUGGCUUGGGAGGGCACGGCAAAGGAGCGGAGCUUUGGCGAGAUGAAGUUCAAGCAGUGUGCUACUGAAAACGGCACGGGAGCAUUUUAAGAAACACGGCACUGAACAUUAUUGGGAUCUAGGCUCUGAGCGAGUCAGUCCUAGAACCCACAGACUGACGGCCUUUUCUGGAGCCCCUUCUCACAUUUCUGGGCGUUUGACAUAAAGAGCAAGGACGGAGCAGAAACAUUAGACUCUAAUCCCCGCCCCCCCCCCCAUUCCCACAAAUUCCUCACAGUACAAUGCAUACAAUUAAAGGAAAUAUUUUUCAGAUCCAAA